UUGAUAUCAUAGUUCUAUUAAUAUGAUAUAUUUGCUUUAUAUUUAUGUGAUGAUUUGUGCAGGACUUUUUUUGUUACGAUGACAACGAUUCAAUGGCGGUUGAAGAAGAUUCGACGGUGGUGUCAAGAUUAUUGUUUUCAUGAUAUUGUUUUUAUGAAUGAUCAAGAAGGUGAAACGUUGCAUUCAUGAUCCCGGCAGGCUGAGAUAGAGGGUUGCAGGUCACCAUUGCAGCAGGAACCGCCAUUUGCAGUCACACCACUGAUAUUGGUUUUACAAGAUGCUUUCUUACGGUUAAAAGAAAGUGGAACUGGUCCAAACUUGGAAGGUUUGUUAAUCUCUUUCGAAGAAUUCAAACUGAGAUCCGGUUUGUGGGCAUAUAUGACAAGUUCAUGAACGCCUUCUUAAAUGACGUUAAAAGGCUUAAAUUCGGCAAUGGUUUUAGUGAAGGUGUGGCCCAGGGACCAUUUAUCGAUGAAGCUGCUAUAUAGAAGGAUGUGCGUUGUGGCACCAGUUAGCGCCGGGUGAGCCACGUAGGCGGCCAGGUGGCUCACGAGCACAACAACGGGGUGCCACAAGCGGUCACAUGUGAGCGCUGGGGUGAGCAUGGUCGCCGGGUGAGCCACGUAGUCGGUCAGGUGGCUCGCGAGACACACCAGUUAGUGCCGGGUGAACCACGUAGGCGGCCAGGUGGCUCGCGAUGAUUCGUGAAGCUUUCUUAUCAUUUUUGAAGCUCUCCUAACGUUUUAACAAUAAAUGGCGAUUUGUGCGUAAACUUCAACAAAGCACCGACUUAGUGUUUGGGUUUGUAUCUCUGUUUGACUUGAUUGUUCCAAUAGCGCUAGAGGAAGGUGCAGACAAAUCAUACUCGAGAGGACUUUCUAUAGCAACUUGUUGCCACCAUCUCUGCCAAUGGAAGCAUUAUAUCAGGAAAAUGUUAAGAAUAUCUGUGGAGAUAGAAAUAUGUCUGUUGCAGAGAGCGCUGCGCUAGGGUUUAUGUGCAAAGAUAU
This 1007-nucleotide long non-coding RNA is filed under the name Helianthus annuus (common sunflower). Lineage: Eukaryota; Viridiplantae; Streptophyta; Magnoliopsida; Asterales; Asteraceae. The record is from RNAcentral.